This 464-nucleotide ribosomal RNA is filed under the name uncultured bacterium. Its description in RNAcentral is "partial 16S ribosomal RNA". It matches the Rfam family "Bacterial small subunit ribosomal RNA", at positions 29 to 507 of the family's 1533-position model. The record is from RNAcentral.
ACGCACGCUGGCGGCGUGCUUAACACAUGCAGGUCGAACGGAAAGGCCCUGCUUGCCGGGUACUCGAGUGGCGAACGGGUGAGUAACACGUGGGUGAUCUGCCCUGCACUUCGGGAUAAGCCUGGGAAACUGGGUCUAAUACCGGAUAGGAGCCAUUUUUAGUGUGAUGGUUGGAAAGUUUUUUCGGUGUAGGAUGAGCUCGCGGCCUAUCAGCUUGUUGGUGGGGUAAUGGCCUACCAAGGCGGCGACGGGUAGCCGGCCUGAGAGGGUGGACGGCCACAUUGGGACUGAGAUACGGCCCAGACUCCUACGGGAGGCAGCAGUGGGGAAUAUUGCACAAUGGGCGCAAGCCUGAUGCAGCGACGCCGCGUGGGGGAGGACGGCCUUCGGGUUGUAAACGCCUUUCGCUAGGGACGAAGCUUUUUGUGACGGUACCUAGAGAAGAAGCACCGGCUAACUACGUG